This 450-nucleotide ribosomal RNA is filed under the name uncultured bacterium. RNAcentral's name for it is "partial 16S ribosomal RNA". It matches the Rfam family "Bacterial small subunit ribosomal RNA", at positions 338 to 795 of the family's 1533-position model. The record is from RNAcentral.
CCUACGGGUGGCUGCAGUGAGGAAUAUUGGUCAAUGGGCGCAAGCCUGAACCAGCCAUCCCGCGUGAAGGAAGAAGGCCCUAUGGGUUGUAAACUUCUUUUCCAGGGGAAUAAAAUCCCGAACGAGUUGGGGACUGAAGGUACCCUGGGAAUAAGCAUCGGCUAACUCCGUGCCAGCAGCCGCGGUAAUACGGAGGAUGCGAGCGUUAUCCGGAUUUAUUGGGGUUAAAGGGUGCGAAUGCGGCUUAAUAGAAAACCUGCAGCGUAACUGUAGACUUGCCAUUGAUACUGUUAGUCUUGAGUACGGUCAAGGUAGGCGGAAUGUGUAAUGUAGCGGUGAAAUGCUUAGAUAUUACACAGAACACCGAUUGCGAAGGCAGCUUACUGGGCCGCAACUGACGCUGAUGCACGAAAGCGUGGGGAGCGAACAGGAUUAGAUACCCCGGUAGUC